RNAcentral lists this ribosomal RNA (468 nucleotides) under uncultured bacterium. RNAcentral's name for it is "bacterial SSU rRNA". It matches the Rfam family "Bacterial small subunit ribosomal RNA", at positions 28 to 507 of the family's 1533-position model. The record is from RNAcentral.
GAUGAACGCUGGCGGCGUGCCUAAUACAUGCAAGUCGAACGGGGAGGUAUCAAUUUCGAUUUUUACUCCUAGUGGCGAACGGGUGAGUAACGCGUUGGUGACCUGCCCCGAAGAGGGGGAUAACUCCGCGAAAGCGGAGCUAAUACCCCAUGUGGUCUUUCAGGUUAGAGGCUGAAUGACUAAAGGAGCAAUCCACUUCGGGAGGGGCCUGCGUCCCAUCAGCUAGUUGGUAGGGUAACGGCCUACCAAGGCGAUGACGGGUAGGGGGCCUGAGAGGGUGGCCCCCCACACUGGCACUGAAACACGGGCCAGACACCUACGGGUGGCAGCAGUAGGGAAUAUUGCACAAUGGGCGAAAGCCUGAUGCAGCAACGCCGCGUGCGCGAAGAAGGCCUUCGGGUUGUAAAGCGCUUUUCUGGAGGAAGAGGAAGGACGGUACUCCAGGAAUAAGGAUCGGCUAACUACGUG